AUACGGAGGAUGCAAGCGUUAUCCGGAUUUAUUGGGUUUAAAGGGUGCGUAGGCGGAUGAUUAAGCGUGAGGUGAAAUGCCACUGCUCAACAGUGGAACUGCCCAGCGAACUGGUUGUCUUGAAUGCUCCUGCCGUGGGAGGAAUGUGUGGUGUAGCGGUGAAAUGCAUAGAGAUCACACAGAACACCGAUUGCGAAGGCAUCUCACGAAGGGGUGAUUGACGCUGAGGCACGAAAGCGUGGGGAUCAAACAGGAUUAGAUACCCUGGUAGUCCACGCAGUAAACGAUGAUAACUAACCGCUGGGUCGUAGUGAUUCAGUGGCCAAGCGAAAGCGAUAAGUUAUCCACCUGGGGAGUACGACCGCAAGGUUGAAACUCAAAGGAAUUGACGGGG
This 394-nucleotide ribosomal RNA is filed under the name uncultured bacterium. RNAcentral describes it as "partial 16S ribosomal RNA". It matches the Rfam family "Bacterial small subunit ribosomal RNA", at positions 523 to 918 of the family's 1533-position model. The record is from RNAcentral.